RNA transcript from Mirounga angustirostris (Northern elephant seal), 1379 nucleotides. It is a transcript of the gene named NADH:ubiquinone oxidoreductase subunit A9, with no coding region annotated. NCBI's taxonomy places the organism in Eukaryota, Metazoa, Chordata, Mammalia, Carnivora, Phocidae. The transcript has 11 exons. The record is from RefSeq and is a predicted model, not a curated record.
GUCUCUUCCCGGUUAGCGCCUGCGCAGACAGGCGUGGAAGAUCACUUUGGCCCAGCUCAGUAGCCGUAGUGGGUUGGCGCGCCGGCCGUGGGGUAUUGUGGGAGAAGAUGGCGGCUGCCGUUCGCCCCCGGGUUGUCCGGGCCCUGCCAAUGUCACGUUCUUCUAUUACUGCAAGAGCCACAGCUGUGUUUCAUGGCCCACCCCAGCGCCAGCUUCAUCAUGCACUCAUACCUCAUGGCAAAGGUGGGCGUUCCUCAGUCAGUGGGAUUGUGGCCACUGUGUUUGGAGCAACAGGAUUCCUGGGCCGAUAUGUUGUCAACCAUCUUGGACGUAUGGGGUCACAGGUGAUCGUACCCUAUCGGUGUGAUCCAUAUGACACCAUGCACCUUCGUCCCAUGGGUGACCUGGGCCAGAUUAUCUUUCUGGAAUGGGACGGGAGGAACAAAGAUUCUAUCCGAAGAGCAGUGAAGCACAGCAAUGUGGUCAUUAAUCUUGUUGGGCGAGAAUGGGAAACCAAAAACUUUGAUUUUGAGGAUAUUUUUGUGAAGAUUCCCCGUGCAAUUGCUCAAGUGUCCAAGGAAGCUGGAGUUGAAAAGCUCAUUCAUGUUUCACAUCUGAAUGCUGAUAUUAAAAGCCCUUCUAGAUAUCUGAGAAAUAAGGCUGUUGGAGAGAAGGAAGUGAGAGAUGCAUUUCCGGAAGCCAUCAUCAUAAAGCCAUCGGACAUCUUUGGAAGAGAGGAUAGAUUCCUCAAUCAUUUUGCAAAUACUCGCUGGUUUGGUGGUGUACCUCUUAUUUCCUUGGGCAAGAAGACAGUGAAGCACCCAGUAUACGUUGUAGAUGUAUCAAAAGGAAUUGUUAAUGCAAUUAAGGAUCCAGAUUCCAGAGGGAAAUCUUUUGCCUUCGUUGGUUUUCUUUUUGUAGGCCCAGUCAGUACGUCCUUUUUGACCUGGUGCAGUAUGUCUUUGCUGUGGCUCACAGACCCUUCCUGCCGUACCCUUUGCCGCAGUUUGCCUAUCGAUGGCUAGCACGACUCUUUGAAAUGAGUCCAUUUGAGCCAUGGACAACAAGGGAUAAAGUGGAGCGGCUUCACAUCACGGACAUGCUGUUGCCCCACCUGCCUGGCUUGGAAGACCUUGGAAUUCAGGCCACACCCCUGGAGCUCAAGGCCAUUGAGGUGCUGCGGCGCCAUCGUACUUACCGCUGGCUGUUGUCCGAAAUGGAAGACGUGAAGCCGGCCAAGACGGUCAACUUUUAGUGGCCCCUGCGCUGCCCCGGGGUUUCCGUGUUGGUCAGGUCGCCCGGCUGGGACCAGCCCACUGUCGUUAGAGAAUCCUGUAUAUAGUGAAUAAGAUCCCUCUAUUAAACCAUCUGAGGUUAAA